This 397-nucleotide ribosomal RNA is filed under the name uncultured bacterium. RNAcentral's name for it is "bacterial SSU rRNA". It matches the Rfam family "Bacterial small subunit ribosomal RNA", at positions 362 to 776 of the family's 1533-position model. The record is from RNAcentral.
UAUUGCACAAUGGGGGAAACCCUGAUGCAGCGACGCCGCGUGAGCGAUGACGUAUUUCGGUAUGUAAAGCUCUAUCAGCAGGGAAGAAAAUGACGGUACCUGACUAAGCAGCCCCGGCUAACUACGUGCCAGCAGCCGCGGUAUUACGUAGGGGGCAAGCGUUAUCCGGAUUUACUGGGUGUAAAGGGAGCGUCGGCGGUCCUGCAAGCCAGAUGUGAAAGCCCGGGGCUCAACCCCGGGACUGCAUUUGGAACUGUAAGGCUAGAGUGUCGGAGAGGCAGGCGGAAUUCCUAGUGUAGCGGUGAAAUGCGUAGAUAUUAGGAGGAACACCAGUGGCGAAGGCGGCCUGCUGGACGAUGACUGACGUUGAGGCUCGAAAGCGUGGGGAGCAAACAGG